RNAcentral lists this unclassified non-coding RNA (222 nucleotides) under Sporobolomyces patagonicus. RNAcentral's name for it is "partial internal transcribed spacer region". The stretch from base 1 to 46 matches the Rfam family "Eukaryotic small subunit ribosomal RNA", at positions 1786 to 1831 of the family's 1831-position model. Lineage: Eukaryota; Fungi; Basidiomycota; Microbotryomycetes; Sporidiobolales; Sporidiobolaceae. The record is from RNAcentral.
AAGUCGUAACAAGGUUUCCGUAGGUGAACCUGCGGAAGGAUCAUUAUUGAAAACAAGGGUGUCCAAUUUAACUUGGAACCCAAACUUCUCAAUUCUAACUUUGUGCAUCUGUAUUAAUGGCGAGGAACUUCGGUUGUGAGCCUUCACUUACAAAACACUAGUCUAUGAAUGUAAAAUUUUUAUAACAAAUAAAAACUUUCAACAACGGAUCUCUUGGCUCUC